GCUGAACAUAAGUUGAAUGGUUAUGUCGAAGAAAGUCAACGGCAUAACCAUCCAAGUUGAAUGGCUAUGCCGUUGAGUUUCUUCGGCAUAACCAUUCAACUUG
This is a non-coding RNA of Paramuricea clavata, 103 nucleotides long. Lineage: Eukaryota; Metazoa; Cnidaria; Anthozoa; Malacalcyonacea; Plexauridae. The record is from the annotation of a GenBank genome assembly.